Molecule: ribosomal RNA, 374 nt
Filed under: uncultured bacterium
Lineage: Bacteria
Description: bacterial SSU rRNA
Rfam family: Bacterial small subunit ribosomal RNA
Source: RNAcentral
GAUGAACGCUAGCGGCAGGCUUAACACAUGCAAGUCGAGGGGUAGAGGAAGCUUGCUUCCUUGAGACCGGCGCACGGGUGCGUAACGCGUAUACAAUCUACCUUUUACAGAGGGAUAGCCCCAGAGAAAUUUGGAUUAAUACCUCAUAGUAUUUUCGGAUCGCAUGAUUUGAUUAUUAAAGUUCCAACGGUAAAGAUGAGUAUGCGUCCAUUAGCUAGAUGGUAAGGUAACGGCUUACCAUGGCAAUGAUGGGUAGGGGUCCUGAGAGGGAGAUCCCCCACACUGGUACUGAGACACGGACCAGACUCCUACGGGAGGCAGCAGUGAGGAAUAUUGGACCAAAUGGGCGGCAAAGCCUGAUCCAGCCCAAUGCC